This 908-nucleotide ribosomal RNA is filed under the name uncultured Bacillota bacterium. Its description in RNAcentral is "bacterial SSU rRNA". It matches the Rfam family "Bacterial small subunit ribosomal RNA", at positions 61 to 999 of the family's 1533-position model. Lineage: Bacteria; Bacillati; Bacillota. The record is from RNAcentral.
GUCGAACGGUCCUUCGGGACAGUGGCGGACGGCUGAGUAACACGUAGGUAACCUACCCUUGAGUGGGGGACAACCCUCCGAAAGGAGGGCUAAUACCGCAUACGACCGCCGGGCCUCGGCUCGGUGUGGAAAGCAGUAAUGCGCUCGAGGAUGGGCCUGCGUCCGAUUAGCUAGUUGGUGAGGUAACGGCCCACCAAGGCGACGAUCGGUAGCUGGUCUGAGAGGAUGAUCAGCCAGACUGGGACUGUGACACGGCCCAGACUCCUACGGGAGGCAGCAGUUAGGAAUUUUGGGCAAUGGGCGAAAGCCUGACCCAGCAACGCCGCGUGGGUGACGAAGGCCCUCGGGUCGUAAAGCCCUUUUGCACGGGAAGAUAAUGACGGUACCGUGCGAAUAAGCCCCGGCUAACUACGUGCCAGCAGCCGCGGUAAUACGUAGGGGGCGAGCGUUGUCCGGAUUUAUUGGGCGUAAAACGCUUGUAGGUGGCCACGCCAAGUCGUGUGUGAAAUCUCCCGGCUUAACUGGGAGGGGUCAUGCGAUACUGGCGGGCUCGAGGCCGGUAGGGGGAAGCGGAAUUCCCGGUGUAGUGGUGGAAUGCGUAGAUAUCGGGAGGAACACCAGUGGCGAAGGCGGCUUCCUGGACCGGUUCUGACACUGAGGAGCGAAAGCGUGGGGAGCGAUCCGGAUUAGAUACCCGGGUAGUCCACGCCGUAAACGGUGGGCACUAGAUGUCGGGGGUAUCGACCCCUCCGGUGUCGCAGCUAACGCAUUAAGUGCCCUGCCUGGGGAGUACGGCCGCAAGGCUAAAACUCAAAGAAAUUGACGGGGGCCCGCACAAGCAGCGGAGCGUGUGGUUUAAUUCGAUGCACCGCGAGAACCUCACCUAGGCUUGACAUGCCGGAAGUAGA